GACGAACGCUGGCGGCGCGCCUAACACAUGCAAGUCGAACGGAGUCAAGAGGAGCUUGCUUUUCUUGACUUAGUGGCGAACGGGUGAGUAACGCGUGAGUAACCUGCCCUGGAGUGGGGGACAACAGUUGGAAACGACUGCUAAUACCGCAUAAGCCCACGGAUCCGCAUGGAUCUGCGGGAAAAGGAUUUAUUCGCUUCAGGAUGGACUCGCGUCCAAUUAGCUAGUUGGUGAGGUAACGGCCCACCAAGGCGACGAUUGGUAGCCGGACUGAGAGGUUGAACGGCCACAUUGGGACUGAGACACGGCCCAGACUCCUACGGGAGGCAGCAGUGGGGGAUAUUGCACAAUGGGGGAAACCCUGAUGCAGCGACGCCGCGUGGAGGAAGAAGGUGUUCGGAUUGUAAACUCCUGUCGUUAGGGACGAUAAUGACGGUACCUAACAAGAAAGCACCGGCUAACUACGUG
This 468-nucleotide ribosomal RNA is filed under the name uncultured bacterium. RNAcentral's name for it is "partial 16S ribosomal RNA". It matches the Rfam family "Bacterial small subunit ribosomal RNA", at positions 28 to 507 of the family's 1533-position model. The record is from RNAcentral.